RNAcentral lists this ribosomal RNA (376 nucleotides) under Vibrio parahaemolyticus. RNAcentral's name for it is "bacterial SSU rRNA". It matches the Rfam family "Bacterial small subunit ribosomal RNA", at positions 64 to 440 of the family's 1533-position model. The record is from RNAcentral. Lineage: Bacteria; Pseudomonadati; Pseudomonadota; Gammaproteobacteria; Vibrionales; Vibrionaceae.
UAUCUGAACCUUCGGGGAACGAUAACGGCGUCGAGCGGCGGACGGGUGAGUAAUGCCUAGGAAAUUGCCCUGAUGUGGGGGAUAACCAUUGGAAACGAUGGCUAAUACCGCAUGAUGCCUACGGGCCAAAGAGGGGGACCUUCGGGCCUCUCGCGUCAGGAUAUGCCUAGGUGGGAUUAGCUAGUUGGUGAGGUAAGGGCUCACCAAGGCGACGAUCCCUAGCUGGUCUGAGAGGAUGAUCAGCCACACUGGAACUGAGACACGGUCCAGACUCCUACGGGAGGCAGCAGUGGGGAAUAUUGCACAAUGGGCGCAAGCCUGAUGCAGCCAUGCCGCGUGUGUGAAGAAGGCCUUCGGGUUGUAAAGCACUUUCAGU